GGGGGUACAGCUCAGUGGUAGAGUGGGUGCUUAGCAUGCACAAGGUCCUGAUUUCAAUCCCCAUUACCUCCA
RNAcentral lists this transfer RNA (72 nucleotides) under Camelus bactrianus (Bactrian camel). It matches the Rfam family "tRNA". Rfam says of the family: Transfer RNA (tRNA) molecules are approximately 80 nucleotides in length. Their secondary structure includes four short double-helical elements and three loops (D, anti-codon, and T loops). RNAcentral also lists the same sequence under 1 other name. The record is from Rfam by way of RNAcentral. Lineage: Eukaryota; Metazoa; Chordata; Mammalia; Artiodactyla; Camelidae.